This 77-nucleotide transfer RNA is filed under the name candidate division TA06 bacterium. RNAcentral's name for it is "tRNA-Asp". It matches the Rfam family "tRNA". From Rfam's summary of the family: Transfer RNA (tRNA) molecules are approximately 80 nucleotides in length. Their secondary structure includes four short double-helical elements and three loops (D, anti-codon, and T loops). Further hydrogen bonds mediate the characteristic L-shaped molecular structure. tRNAs have two regions of fundamental functional importance: the anti-codon, which is responsible for specific mRNA codon recognition, and the 3' end, to which the tRNAs corresponding amino acid is attached (by aminoacyl-tRNA synthetases). tRNAs cope with the degeneracy of the genetic code in two manners: having more than one tRNA (with a specific anti-codon) for a particular amino acid; and 'wobble' base-pairing, i.e. permitting non-standard base-pairing at the 3rd anti-codon position. RNAcentral also lists the same sequence under 1 other name. The record is from RNAcentral.
GGGGCGGUAGUGCAGCUUGGUUCUAACACACUGGCCUGUCAAGCCAGAGAUCGCGGGUUCGAAUCCCGUCCGCCCCG